Molecule: ribosomal RNA, 340 nt
Filed under: uncultured Prevotella sp.
Lineage: Bacteria; Pseudomonadati; Bacteroidota; Bacteroidia; Bacteroidales; Prevotellaceae
Description: partial 16S ribosomal RNA
Source: RNAcentral
GGAGUUUGGUCCGUGUCUCAGUACCAAUGUGGGGGACCUUCCUCUCAGAACCCCUACUGAUCGUUGCCCCGGUGGGCCGUUACCCCGCCGGCAAGCUAAUCAGACGCAUCCCCAUCCCUUACCGAUGAAUCUUUGUUCCGAAUUAGAUGUCUGCUUCGGAAAACAUAGGGUAUUAAUCCGCAUUUCUACGGGCUAUGCCCUACUAUGGGGAAGGUUGGAUACGCGUUACUCACCCGUGCGCCGGUCGCCAUCAAAGAAAGCAAGCUUCCUUCAUGCUGCCCCUCGACUUGCAUGUGUUAAGCCUGUAGCUAGCGUUCAUCCUGAGCAAUGAUCAAACUCU